RNAcentral lists this ribosomal RNA (459 nucleotides) under uncultured bacterium. Its description in RNAcentral is "partial 16S ribosomal RNA". It matches the Rfam family "Bacterial small subunit ribosomal RNA", at positions 338 to 795 of the family's 1533-position model. The record is from RNAcentral.
CCUACGGGUGGCUGCAGUGAGGAAUAUUGGUCAAUGGCCGGAAGGCUGAACCAGCCAAGCCGCGUGAGGGACGACGGUGCCAAGCAUUGUAAACUUCUUUUGUCAAGGGACAAAAUCAGGCUCGAGAGCCUGACCGAGGGGACCUGAAGAAAAAGCCUUGGCUAACUCCGUUCCAGCAGCCGCGGGAAGACGGGGGAUGCCAGCGUUAUCCGGAUUUAUUGGGGUUAAAGGGUGCGUAGGCGGGCUGUUAAGUCAGCGGUAAAAACCCGGGGCUCAACCCCGGCGAGCCGUUGAAACUGGCAGUCUUGAGAGGGCGAGAGGUAUGCGGAAUGCGCGGUGUAGCGGUGAAAUGCUUAGAUAUUGCGCAGAACGCCGAUUGCGAAGGCAGCAUACCGGCGGCGAUCUGACGCUGAGGCACGAAAGCGUGGGUAUCGAACAGGAUUAGAUACCCGAGUAGUC